UGGAUCACCUCCUAACAGGGAGACAACAAAAUGUUAAAUAUUAAUUUUGUCACCUUAGGUCGAUCGGUAUCUCACAUUCUUAUUAAUUUAUUAAGAAUUUUAUUUCCUAAGUUUUUUCUAGGUCACACCCAUAAUUUUCCCUGGGCCAUUAGCUCAGGUGGUUAGAGCGCACCCCUGAUAAGGGUGAGGUCCCUGGUUCAAGUCCAGGAUGGCCCAUAUCUCUAUGUUGGGGGUAUAGCUCAGUUGGUAGAGCGCCUGCUUUGCAAGCAGGAUGUCAGCGGUUCGAGUCCGCUUACCUCCACUGAUUACCACCUCUUCCAUAAUUUAUAGAAGGGAAAUUUUUGAGUUUUGAUCAAAAUCUGAACGAAUCUAGCUUCCUAAUAAUGAUAUUAAGAUGCUGGACUCAUUGAAUUAAUUUUCAUUGUUUUCAGAGAACCUUGACAACUGCAUAGAUUAUUUUUUUAAAGACAAUAAGCAUCUUUAAUGAUGCAGAUUUAUUAUUUGUGCGAAUGCAUUAAAUAACAAUUCUAUUAAGCUGAUGCUUCAAAUUUUGAAGUUAUUGGUUAAGCUACAAAGGGCUCACGGAGGAUACCUAGGCACACAGAGGCGAUGAAGG
RNAcentral lists this transfer RNA (616 nucleotides) under uncultured Prochlorococcus sp. RNAcentral's name for it is "partial contains 16S ribosomal RNA, 16S-23S ribosomal RNA intergenic spacer, and 23S ribosomal RNA". The stretch from base 229 to 301 matches the Rfam family "tRNA". The record is from RNAcentral. Lineage: Bacteria; Bacillati; Cyanobacteriota; Cyanophyceae; Synechococcales; Prochlorococcaceae.